This 891-nucleotide ribosomal RNA is filed under the name Staphylococcus aureus. Its description in RNAcentral is "partial 23S ribosomal RNA". It matches the Rfam family "Bacterial large subunit ribosomal RNA", at positions 1262 to 2149 of the family's 2925-position model. The record is from RNAcentral. Lineage: Bacteria; Bacillati; Bacillota; Bacilli; Caryophanales; Staphylococcaceae.
CGCAAGGACAUGUGGAGCGCUUAGAAGUGAGAAUGCCGGUGUGAGUAGCGAAAGACGGGUGAGAAUCCCGUCCACCGAUUGACUAAGGUUUCCAGAGGAAGGCUCGUCCGCUCUGGGUUAGUCGGGUCCUAAGCUGAGGCCGACAGGCGUAGGCGAUGGAUAACAGGUUGAUAUUCCUGUACCACCUAUAAUCGUUUUAAUCGAUGGGGGGACGCAGUAGGAUAGGCGAAGCGUGCGAUUGGAUUGCACGUCUAAGCAGUAAGGCUGAGUAUUAGGCAAAUCCGGUACUCGUUAAGGCUGAGCUGUGAUGGGGAGAAGACAUUGUGUCUUCGAGUCGUUGAUUUCACACUGCCGAGAAAAGCCUCUAGAUAGAAAAUAGGUGCCCGUACCGCAAACCGACACAGGUAGUCAAGAUGAGAAUUCUAAGGUGAGCGAGCGAACUCUCGUUAAGGAACUCGGCAAAAUGACCCCGUAACUUCGGGAGAAGGGGUGCUCUUUAGGGUUAACGCCCAGAAGAGCCGCAGUGAAUAGGCCCAAGCGACUGUUUAUCAAAAACACAGGUCUCUGCUAAACCGUAAGGUGAUGUAUAGGGGCUGACGCCUGCCCGGUGCUGGAAGGUUAAGAGGAGUGGUUAGCUUCUGCGAAGCUACGAAUCGAAGCCCCAGUAAACGGCGGCCGUAACUAUAACGGUCCUAAGGUAGCGAAAUUCCUUGUCGGGUAAGUUCCGACCCGCACGAAAGGCGUAACGAUUUGGGCACUGUCUCAACGAGAGACUCGGUGAAAUCAUAGUACCUGUGAAGAUGCAGGUUACCCGCGACAGGACGGAAAGACCCCGUGGAGCUUUACUGUAGCCUGAUAUUGAAAUUCGGCACAGCUUGUACAGGAUAGGUA